Molecule: non-coding RNA, 45 nt
Filed under: Schistosoma margrebowiei
Lineage: Eukaryota; Metazoa; Platyhelminthes; Trematoda; Strigeidida; Schistosomatidae
Source: RNAcentral
CUACAGCUGACGAGUCCCAAAUAGGACGAAAUACGCGUCCUGGAU